This 468-nucleotide ribosomal RNA is filed under the name uncultured bacterium. Its description in RNAcentral is "partial 16S ribosomal RNA". It matches the Rfam family "Bacterial small subunit ribosomal RNA", at positions 28 to 507 of the family's 1533-position model. The record is from RNAcentral.
GACGAACGCUGGCGGCGUGCUUAACACAUGCAAGUCGAACGGAAAGGCCCUGCUUUUGUGGUGUUCUCGAGUGGCGAAGGGGUGCGUAACACGUGAGUAACCUGCCCUUGACUUUGGUAUAACUUCAGGAAACUGGGGCUAAUCCCGGAUCGGAGCUCCUGCUGCAUGGUGGGUGUUGGAUCGUUUCGGCGGUUGGGGAUGGACUCGCGGCUUAUCAGCUAGUUGGUGGGGUAGUGGCUUACCAAGGCUUUGACGGGUAGCCGGCCUGUGAAGGUGACCGGGGACAUGAGGACUAAGGGAGGGACCAGACGCGUACGGGGGACAGCAGGGGGAAAUAUUGCACAAUGAGCGGGAGCGGGUUAAGAAGGCGCCGGGGGCGGGAUGACGGUCUUCGGGUAAAGAACAGCUGUAGCCUAUGACGAAGCGGGAGUGACGGUAAUGAGUGAAGAAGCACCGGCUAACUACGUG